This 2529-nucleotide ribosomal RNA is filed under the name Staphylococcus aureus. RNAcentral describes it as "partial 23S ribosomal RNA". It matches the Rfam family "Bacterial large subunit ribosomal RNA", at positions 260 to 2789 of the family's 2925-position model. The record is from RNAcentral. Lineage: Bacteria; Bacillati; Bacillota; Bacilli; Caryophanales; Staphylococcaceae.
GGGAAGAGCCCAAACCAACAAGCUUGCUUGUUGGGGUUGUAGGACACUCUAUACGGAGUUACAAAGGACGACAUUAGACGAAUCAUCUGGAAAGAUGAAUCAAAGAAGGUAAUAAUCCUGUAGUCGAAAAUGUUGUCUCUCUUGAGUGGAUCCUGAGUACGACGGAGCACGUGAAAUUCCGUCGGAAUCUGGGAGGACCAUCUCCUAAGGCUAAAUACUCUCUAGUGACCGAUAGUGAACCAGUACCGUGAGGGAAAGGUGAAAAGCACCCCGGAAGGGGAGUGAAAUAGAACCUGAAACCGUGUGCUUACAAGUAGUCAGAGCCCGUUAAUGGGUGAUGGCGUGCCUUUUGUAGAAUGAACCGGCGAGUUACGAUUUGAUGCAAGGUUAAGCAGUAAAUGUGGAGCCGUAGCGAAAGCGAGUCUGAAUAGGGCGUUUAGUAUUUGGUCGUAGACCCGAAACCAGGUGAUCUACCCUUGGUCAGGUUGAAGUUCAGGUAACACUGAAUGGAGGACCGAACCGACUUACGUUGAAAAGUGAGCGGAUGAACUGAGGGUAGCGGAGAAAUUCCAAUCGAACCUGGAGAUAGCUGGUUCUCUCCGAAAUAGCUUUAGGGCUAGCCUCAAGUGAUGAUUAUUGGAGGUAGAGCACUGUUUGGACGAGGGGCCCCUCUCGGGUUACCGAAUUCAGACAAACUCCGAAUGCCAAUUAAUUUAACUUGGGAGUCAGAACAUGGGUGAUAAGGUCCGUGUUCGAAAGGGAAACAGCCCAGACCACCAGCUAAGGUCCCAAAAUAUAUGUUAAGUGGAAAAGGAUGUGGCGUUGCCCAGACAACUAGGAUGUUGGCUUAGAAGCAGCCAUCAUUUAAAGAGUGCGUAAUAGCUCACUAGUCGAGUGACACUGCGCCGAAAAUGUACCGGGGCUAAACAUAUUACCGAAGCUGUGGAUUGUCCUUUGGACAAUGGUAGGAGAGCGUUCUAAGGGCGUUGAAGCAUGAUCGUAAGGACAUGUGGAGCGCUUAGAAGUGAGAAUGCCGGUGUGAGUAGCGAAAGACGGGUGAGAAUCCCGUCCACCGAUUGACUAAGGUUUCCAGAGGAAGGCUCGUCCGCUCUGGGUUAGUCGGGUCCUAAGCUGAGGCCGACAGGCGUAGGCGAUGGAUAACAGGUUGAUAUUCCUGUACCACCUAUAAUCGUUUUAAUCGAUGGGGGGACGCAGUAGGAUAGGCGAAGCGUGCGAUUGGAUUGCACGUCUAAGCAGUAAGGCUGAGUAUUAGGCAAAUCCGGUACUCGUUAAGGCUGAGCUGUGAUGGGGAGAAGACAUUGAGUCUUCGAGUCGUUGAUUUCACACUGCCGAGAAAAGCCUCUAGAUAGAAAAUAGGUGCCCGUACCGCAAACCGACACAGGUAGUCAAGAUGAGAAUUCUAAGGUGAGCGAGCGAACUCUCGUUAAGGAACUCGGCAAAAUGACCCCGUAACUUCGGGAGAAGGGGUGCUCUUUAGGGUUAACGCCCAGAAGAGCCGCAGUGAAUAGGCCCAAGCGACUGUUUAUCAAAAACACAGGUCUCUGCUAAACCGUAAGGUGAUGUAUAGGGGCUGACGCCUGCCCGGUGCUGGAAGGUUAAGAGGAGUGGUUAGCUUCUGCGAAGCUACGAAUCGAAGCCCCAGUAAACGGCGGCCGUAACUAUAACGGUCCUAAGGUAGCGAAAUUCCUUGUCGGGUAAGUUCCGACCCGCACGAAAGGCGUAACGAUUUGGGCACUGUCUCAACGAGAGACUCGGUGAAAUCAUAGUACCUGUGAAGAUGCAGGUUACCCGCGACAGGACGGAAAGACCCCGUGGAGCUUUACUGUAGCCUGAUAUUGAAAUUCGGCACAGCUUGUACAGGAUAGGUAGGAGCCUUUGAAACGUGAGCGCUAGCUUACGUGGAGGCGCUGGUGGGAUACUACCCUAGCUGUGUUGGCUUUCUAACCCGCACCACUUAUCGUGGUGGGAGACAGUGUCAGGCGGGCAGUUUGACUGGGGCGGUCGCCUCCUAAAAGGUAACGGAGGCGCUCAAAGGUUCCCUCAGAAUGGUUGGAAAUCAUUCAUAGAGUGUAAAGGCAUAAGGGAGCUUGACUGCGAGACCUACAAGUCGAGCAGGGUCGAAAGACGGACUUAGUGAUCCGGUGGUUCCGCAUGGAAGGGCCAUCGCUCAACGGAUAAAAGCUACCCCGGGGAUAACAGGCUUAUCUCCCCCAAGAGUUCACAUCGACGGGGAGGUUUGGCACCUCGAUGUCGGCUCAUCGCAUCCUGGGGCUGUAGUCGGUCCCAAGGGUUGGGCUGUUCGCCCAUUAAAGCGGUACGCGAGCUGGGUUCAGAACGUCGUGAGACAGUUCGGUCCCUAUCCGUCGUGGGCGUAGGAAAUUUGAGAGGAGCUGUCCUUAGUACGAGAGGACCGGGAUGGACAUACCUCUGGUGUACCAGUUGUCGUGCCAACGGCAUAGCUGGGUAGCUAUGUGUGGACGGGAUAAGUGCUGAAAGCAUCUAAGCAUG